Molecule: long non-coding RNA, 2023 nt
Filed under: Equus caballus (horse)
Lineage: Eukaryota; Metazoa; Chordata; Mammalia; Perissodactyla; Equidae
Description: lncRNA (ENSECAG00000047599.1)
Source: RNAcentral
GUUGAGGAGCCUCCUAUGUCGCCAUCUUGAACUGGAGCAUCUAUAUUUUUAAAAAAUCUCCCCAGAUAAUUCUCACUUGCUGCCAGGGUUGAGGAUCAUUGUUCCAGAUUCUCGUCUAAAGCGCCGGGGUAGAAAGUUUCCUGUGGUGUCCACAACCUGAGGCCUGUUUCCCGCGAUUCUUUUCAACGGUCGGAGAAAGGAGGGUUCGCCCUUGCAUUCGGGCAGCCGCGUUUCUGAAAUUUGGGAAGUGGACUCGCCUCCUUCCUCAGGCAGAGCCAGCCACGGCCUUGUUUCCUUGGGAUCCCACAGGAAGAGGUGAUGCGAGCCCGAUUUCAAACGGGCCUCAUGCGGCCAGACCUGCGAUCUGACAAGCCAUUUAGACAUCCAAAAUUGCAAAACAAUAAUAACCGUCAGUUAACACAGGCCUUUCUGCAUGUUAGGCUCUGUUCUAAGGGCCUUCUGUUUAUUGACAAGGUAUUUCUCACGUGACAGAUGUGAUAAUGUAAUAAAAACACCAAAAAAUUCAGUUCCAUGACCACAUCUCCCAAACCCCUGAGCAAGAAGGGCUGUGUAGCAGAGGAGUAGAGGUGACCCGCAGCAGGGUUGCCUGGGGUCAGAUCUUGCUCCACCAUUCCCAAUUAGUGUGACCUGGGCCUAUUCCUUGACCUCUCUGUGCCUCCGCUAUAUGUGACAUGGGGGCUGAUAACAGUACCUACCUACAGGAUUGCUGAGGAAUUAAAUACGUUGAUUUCUAAAACACUUAGAACAGAACCAGCACACAGAAAGUAUUAUAUAAAUGUCUACCAUUCAUGUUCUUAUAAUUUUAGGGAAAAUUGGCUAAGAAAAGGCUAAUGAUUGAGUAUUAUCCAUAGUUUUUAUAGGUAAAACAGAAGACAGGCCUGUUGAUAUUACUGUCAAUGAAUCGAUAACUUCAUAUUGCCAUAUAAAUGGUAGUAGGAUGGAGUAGGGAGGAGCCCAGAUGUGAGCCAGGUUACCUGAGUUCAAAUUCUGGCUGCCACUUAUAAGCUGUGUGACCUUUGGCAAGUUGCUUGACCUCUCUGUGCUUCAGUUGCCAUGUGGGUAAAAUAGUGAUAAUAAUAACAGCUAUGACAGAGGAUGGUUGUGAGGUUUGAAUGAGCUAAGCCAUGGAAAGCAGUUAGUUGAAUGAGGUCUCGGGUUACAGUAAGUGCUACAUACCGGCUCCUGUAUGAAGAAGGGUAUUGUAGACAUUAUACUUUUUUUCUUUCACAUACUUAGCUUUCUUGUUUUUCUUUUUCUCUGGAUCAGUCCUCAUACGAUGGUAACUCCUUCCUCAAUGAGAUUUAAAGAGGUCUCUCCAACUUUUUUUAAGCAGCGUCCACACACAGCACAGUGUGACCUGUGCUUUGAGGAUUAGGAUACGAAUACAGACUCUGCCCCCGCAGAGCUCCUACGGUCUCAGGAAAGAUGCAAUGAGGAGUCACAGUGCAAUGGACAGUCUGAGAGAAAUGGCGGCACAGGAAGACAGGCUCCUCGAGGCUGGGCACAGAGACUCUGCCUGGAAGGAAGGAUGGCCGUGCAGAGCGGGUGACAUUUGGGCUGGGCCGUGAAGAGUAAGAUUUUGUCAGGUGGAGGAGACUAAAAUUAGAUAAAAACAGACAUUCUCAGUCUUUAGCAGUGCAUCUGCUGAAAGUUCCAAUGCUCUGAUCCUGUGGUUGGUUCUGGCACCUAGCUCCCUCCUGACACUGUGUAGGGGCCCAGCUCAUCAGCGCAUUAGCGUAAACUCAGGUGUGGUUGAAAGAGGCUCGUUAUGAAUAAAAGAUGCUCCUGUCACUCAGGAAAUUACAAGGGUUUUAGGAGCUCUGUGCCAGGAAUUAUAACGAAGAUCAAAUAUGUAUAUAUUUCUUCUUAUAUCACAAUAUCACUCACGAUUAGGUUGAAGUUACACAUUUUUGGCAAAAAUAAAACAGAAGAGAUGCGCCCUCCUCUGCAUAUCACGCCAGGGCAUAAAUGAUGUGCCUGUGUCUGUCUUAGUAACUGAUGC